GGGUCCAGCCGAAAGGCUGGAGGAUAUGGAUGGUCGGGCCGCCAUCC
This 47-nucleotide non-coding RNA is filed under the name unclassified sequences. RNAcentral's name for it is "Li+-I sequence". It matches the Rfam family "nhaA-I RNA". Rfam says of the family: Acidobacteria, Alphaproteobacteria, Betaproteobacteria and Gammaproteobacteria, Verrucomicrobia, cand. division NC10. Downstream gene The record is from Rfam by way of RNAcentral.